Topomyia yanbarensis is the source of this 767-nucleotide long non-coding RNA. RefSeq lists it as uncharacterized. The record is from RefSeq and is a predicted model, not a curated record. The transcript has 3 exons. Lineage: Eukaryota; Metazoa; Arthropoda; Insecta; Diptera; Culicidae.
CGGAAGAACGAUGGGGCAUUGUAACCGUCGGUUACGAUGAGCAAUUGAUGGCUCCGCCACAAUAAAUAUCAAUCCUUGAGCGGUUCAAUAUUUUGCCCUCCCAGCAUGCAAAUCCAACUCUGCCUUUUCCUGCUACGAGCUCCACUGCCACCCAAAUGGUACCCACAUCAUUUCACAGUACUUAUUUACAGCGGUACCUGUCUCAUUUGGCUGCCGCUACACGCCACGGGUAGAGUAGCCAGUAAAAGGGUUAGCAAACGGAUAUAGCCGAGCUGUCAAACUUCGGAGGUGUUCGGUACAUCUCCGGUGCCGACUUACGAAUACGUCACCGUUUUAGGCUCAGCUCCAGGCCCUGAUCCUUCUUUCUGCUCUGACAAUCAAAGGAAUAAGAAGUGCGCGCGGUGUUCUUAAUUUUCCAAAGUAAUUUUUGUUAAGUGUUAAAAGUGAUGCAGGUUAAUUGAUUUAAUGCUUUUUUAUAGUUACAGUUAGUAAAAGUCCAAACACAAAAGGACUGAUUAAUGGACUAGAGUAAUAGAGUUUAAAAGUGGUACGCAAAGUAAAAUAACGGUGAGAAGACGGUUCACAGACAAAUUAAAAUACCGGAAAAAAAAGGUCCCCAGAGGACCUUUUAUUCUUGGAUCCAGAUUGUCAUCUGGAACCUAUUCCUUCGCAGAACGGGACCAAGAACAGGAACGGAAACUACCGCCAACAUACGGCUCUCUGUCCGUCGCCACGUGCCGAGACCCCCCGGAAACAAUCCCGGCAAC